UUAGCAGGUCGCCUUAUCGAUCUUGCGCAAGCAAGGUAGGAAAGUCCGGACACCAUAGGAUAACAUAGCGGCUAACGGCCGUCGUUUUGUUUUCGCUUUCGCGAAAGCGAGAUAGGACUAGUGCAACAGAAAGUAUGUACAGAUAAUGCUGUAGUGAAACCAGGUAAACUCUAUGUGGUGAAAUGUCGCGUAAAUCAGAGCUUGAGCGCUAUCCGCGCGAUUCUGAAGGGUAGGCAGUUUGAAACAGCGAGUAAUCGUUGUUCUAGAUAAAUGAUAAGGUAUUCAAGCAAUUGAAGAACAGAAUCCGGCUUAUAGACCUGCUAUUUUA
RNAcentral lists this RNase P RNA (328 nucleotides) under Nonlabens dokdonensis. RNAcentral describes it as "RNase P RNA component class A". It matches the Rfam family "Bacterial RNase P class A". From Rfam's summary of the family: Ribonuclease P (RNase P) is a ubiquitous endoribonuclease, found in archaea, bacteria and eukarya as well as chloroplasts and mitochondria. Its best characterised activity is the generation of mature 5'-ends of tRNAs by cleaving the 5'-leader elements of precursor-tRNAs. Lineage: Bacteria; Pseudomonadati; Bacteroidota; Flavobacteriia; Flavobacteriales; Flavobacteriaceae. The record is from RNAcentral.